GACGUAGGGCGCGAGCGUUGUCCGGAUUUAUUGGGCGUAAAGAGCUCGUAGGCGGCUUGUCGCGUCGACUGUGAAAACCCGGGGCUCAACUUCGGGCUUGCGGUCGAUACGGGCGGGCUAGAGUUCGGUAGGGGAGACUGGAAUUCCUGGUGUAGCGAUGAAAUGCGCAGAUAUCAGGAGGAACACCGGUGGCGAAGGCGGGUCUCUGGGCCGAUACUGACGCUGAGGAGCGAAAGCGUGGGGAGCGAACAGG
This 253-nucleotide ribosomal RNA is filed under the name uncultured bacterium. RNAcentral describes it as "partial 16S ribosomal RNA". It matches the Rfam family "Bacterial small subunit ribosomal RNA", at positions 524 to 776 of the family's 1533-position model. The record is from RNAcentral.